Molecule: ribosomal RNA, 699 nt
Filed under: Peribacillus simplex
Lineage: Bacteria; Bacillati; Bacillota; Bacilli; Caryophanales; Bacillaceae
Description: bacterial SSU rRNA
Rfam family: Bacterial small subunit ribosomal RNA
Source: RNAcentral
UCGAGCGAAUCGAUGGGAGCUUGCUCCCUGAGAUUAGCGGCGGACGGGUGAGUAACACGUGGGCAACCUGCCUAUAAGACUGGGAUAACUUCGGGAAACCGGAGCUAAUACCGGAUACGUUCUUUUCUCGCAUGAGAGAAGAUGGAAAGACGGUUUACGCUGUCACUUAUAGAUGGGCCCGCGGCGCAUUAGCUAGUUGGUGAGGUAAUGGCUCACCAAGGCGACGAUGCGUAGCCGACCUGAGAGGGUGAUCGGCCACACUGGGACUGAGACACGGCCCAGACUCCUACGGGAGGCAGCAGUAGGGAAUCUUCCGCAAUGGACGAAAGUCUGACGGAGCAACGCCGCGUGAACGAAGAAGGCCUUCGGGUCGUAAAGUUCUGUUGUUAGGGAAGAACAAGUACCAGAGUAACUGCUGGUACCUUGACGGUACCUAACCAGAAAGCCACGGCUAACUACGUGCCAGCAGCCGCGGUAAUACGUAGGUGGCAAGCGUUGUCCGGAAUUAUUGGGCGUAAAGCGCGCGCAGGUGGUUCCUUAAGUCUGAUGUGAAAGCCCACGGCUCAACCGUGGAGGGUCAUUGGAAACUGGGGGAACUUGAGUGCAGAAGAGGAAAGUGGAAUUCCAAGUGUAGCGGUGAAAUGCGUAGAGAUUUGGAGGAACACCAGUGGGCGAAGGCGACUUUUCUGGUCCUGUAAC